This 537-nucleotide ribosomal RNA is filed under the name Monosporozyma servazzii. Its description in RNAcentral is "Kazachstania servazzii partial large subunit ribosomal RNA". It matches the Rfam family "Eukaryotic large subunit ribosomal RNA", at positions 100 to 651 of the family's 3401-position model. The record is from RNAcentral. Lineage: Eukaryota; Fungi; Ascomycota; Saccharomycetes; Saccharomycetales; Saccharomycetaceae.
GGCAAAAGCUCAAAUUUGAAAUCUAGUACCUUCGGUGCUCGAGUUGUAAUUUGUAGAGGGAUACUUUGGGGCCGUUCCUUGUCUAUGUUCCUUGGAACAGGACGUCAUAGAGGGUGAGAAUCCCGUGUGGCGAGGAGUGCGGUUCUAUGUAAAGUGCCUUCGAAGAGUCGAGUUGUUUGGGAAUGCAGCUCUAAGUGGGUGGUAAAUUCCAUCUAAAGCUAAAUAUUGGCGAGAGACCGAUAGCGAACAAGUACAGUGAUGGAAAGAUGAAAAGAACUUUGAAAAGAGAGUGAAAAAGUACGUGAAAUUGUUGAAAGGGAAGGGCAUUUGAUCAGACAUGGUGUUUUGCGCCCUCCGCUCCUUGUGGGUGGGGGACUCUCGCAGCUCACUGGGCCAACAUCAGUUUUGGUGGUCGGACAAAUCCGUAGGAAUGUAGCUUACCUCGGUAAGUGUUAUAGCCUGCGGGAAUACGGCCAGCCGGGACUGAGGACUGCGACUUUUGUCAAGGAUGUUGGCAUAAUGGUUAUAUGCCGCCCG